CGCUACAUGACGGUUUCAGUGAGUCUGGAAUCCUGGCCCGAAGGGGUUGGGCAAACUGUUUAAUAACCGUCGUGUCAGGAAUCGGGGCUUGUAAUUGUUCCCCGUGAACGAGGAAUUCCUGGUAAGUGCAAGUCAUAAGCUUGCGCUGAUUACGUCCCUGCCCUUUGUACACACCGCCCGUCGCUACUACCGAUUGAAUGGUUUAGCAAGGUCAUCGGAUUGGGGUCACUGUGGUUGCUUGUCAGCCUUGUUGACACUGAAAAGACGACCGAGCUUGAUCAUUUAGAGGAAGUAAAAGUCGUAACAAGGUUUCCGUAGGUGAACCUGCGGAAGGAUCAU
This 339-nucleotide ribosomal RNA is filed under the name Cainocreadium labracis. RNAcentral's name for it is "SSU rRNA". It matches the Rfam family "Eukaryotic small subunit ribosomal RNA", at positions 1496 to 1829 of the family's 1831-position model. The record is from RNAcentral. Lineage: Eukaryota; Metazoa; Platyhelminthes; Trematoda; Plagiorchiida; Opecoelidae.